This 29371-nucleotide long non-coding RNA is filed under the name Solanum tuberosum (potato). Its description in RNAcentral is "long non-coding RNA (STUB_LNC010511)". The record is from RNAcentral. Lineage: Eukaryota; Viridiplantae; Streptophyta; Magnoliopsida; Solanales; Solanaceae.
ACCACUCUAGGUAAAAUCUAGUUGCACAACUAAAUUGAAAAUUCAGCUUGUGCCUGGAAAGCUGAAAUCGGGAACAAAAGUCACAAAAUAAAUAUGGAACUGGAAAUAACUUUUCACCAUCUCCCACUGCUCUAUCCCCAAAAAAACUCAUGGGAGGGAGGUUUCUUUAUGGAAACAAUAAUCACGACAUAAUUUAGUUUCUUUCCUGUCAAAGCGUAAGAUUCUUUCACCUACAAACUCAUCAAAAAGGGAUUUUUCAUCUUCAUCUUAGAUUAGCAAAGCACUGUAGCGAAUGAAUAGUUCAAAAAAAGUGAGACUGAUAUCAACCCAUCAACUUGAUAAAGUUUGGUCAUUCGCAGAACUUGAACAUAGUUGCUUUUAGACAUGAUCACAAGACAUCUGCCGUCUCUAGAUUGAUCGGGUGUAGCAAAGCACUGUAGCAAAUCUUAAAUACUAGAAAUGAGAGAAUUUGAUGUACAUGUACGCCAAUAAAUACUGCAAAUCACAUGUAACUGAAAUCUUAGACUGCAACAUGAUUAUACAUACUUGAAAUAGGUGGUGAUUGGUGAUGCUUUGAAAUCAAAACUGUCAGCCAUUCCACUACGCCUUUUCUUGUACGCCACUUUGUGUCAGAAUUUAUGGUACUUGUAUGCCCAAAAGUAUCCAAAUAAUCCUCUGAGACAACAUAUAACAUGUUCCUUGAGCUUCCUUCAGUACCCACUACAGCAAGGAUUAACUCCCCUGAGGUAUCCUUCAAGUAGUAGUGCACAACACGACAACACUUCCCCUGAGAAACAACGUGCUCUUCCCACGAACUAAAUACAUGACUAUCUGUAUCCAUCCUAAUGCCACAGAGAAACAGUUUGGAUUAAUCGAAAAAUAGCCCAGUUCUAAACAAAUCAGUUUAGGCUAAAUAAUCAUGAACAAACAUAAUCCUCCUAAGUUCUGUUACAAUUUAGGACCCGAUCAAACAAACAUAAAUGAUUGGAACAAAAAACAUCAGAUACAAAGAACAGAUUUUUCCAACAAUUAGCUCCUAAUGAUCAUAUAAAAAAUGAAAAAACAUAAACAAACCACAACCCCAAAUGAAACACAGACAGAAUUUUGCUUAAUCCAAAGAUAAACCAACCUUACUUCCAGAAAACUCUCAACAGCUCAGCUACUAAGAACAGAUAAACUUUUUCAAGAAUUACCAACCAAGGAUCAAAUUCACAAUGAAAAACAACAAUGAGGCCCAAACCCAAGUGAAAAAUGAAAUAGGGUUUGCCGAUUUUCAAAGAUUAAUCAUGUACAAGAAUAAAAGCACACAACAUUGAACCAGCAUUGAGAAGACAUCAAGUGCUCACACUUACAAGCAGCAAAAAAGAACCCAAAAUUCAAGAAAAACAAGCUAAGCACGUGACUAGAACAAAAACACUUAAAAGAGAAAUGGGUUUGCUGAUUUCCAAAAAGAUUAACCAUGUACAAGAACAAAAAUACAGAACAUUGAACCAGCAUUGAGCAGACAUCAAGUGAUCACACUUACAUCAAAUAGCUUAGGAUUGGAAAAGAGAACAAGCAGCCAAAAAGAACUUGAAAUUCAAGAAAAACAAGCUAAGCACGUAACUAGUACUGACUGAUCUCAAAAAUAGCAAAAGUUUGUUGCCUUAUGAAGAAACUGAGUUUCAGAAAAAAGCCAGAGAAUGCUGAGUUGGGUCUUUUGUCUACAAGCAGUGACAGUUAGGGAAAAGGAUAGAGUAAAGAGUAAAAGAACAAGAAAAGAAGAAAGAGAAGGAGGUAGAAAAAGCCAAAUGCCAUUGUUGCCAACACAAGCAAAAGGCUGAGCUCUGGGUUUUCGUUUCAACUUCUUUGUGACAUGUGGAAGCAACAAGAGGGAGAAACACAAUACUUAAGCUUUUGAGUUUUAGCCUUUACACUAAACAAAAUUAGUGUUACAACAGUAUUAGUCACAGAAAAUUUAUUCCAAAAUUAAACUAAAAAAUACGAUUUUGAACCCGUUUCAUGCUCAUGUCAGGUCGGGGUUACUGAAGAAAGAAAAAACCUGCAUGCUCAUGUCAGGUCGGGGUUAGUGAAGAAAGAAAAAACAUGCAAAAUUCGAUUCAUUUUAUCGAAAUCGAUUAGUUAAUAUGUAAGUUAAAUGUAUUUUUAAACAUGAAAAAUAUCUUUGGCCUAUCAAAUUAUCUGUAGAGCUGUGAAAAAAAUUCAACAAAAGACGAAAACAAAUCCACUUCCGUAAUAGAAACUUAAAUUUGUUCACAAUAUUAAUCAUAUUUUCUGUGCCAACGAGGAGUAUAAUAAUAUUUCAUUUGGACUAAUAUUCUCUAUGUGAAUCUCUUCCAGGCCAAAUGGAAGCAGAAUGCGCCUUUCCUCUGUUGAGGAAUUCCACGAAAUGAAAACGGGCAACAUCGAUGCUCCACCUUUUAGUAACAACGUAAUGACAAGUGUGUUGAAGCCAUAUAACAGGGACAAAAUUCAUCGAUUAGGUGGCAGGUUUGUAGGUCUUUGAUCUAUCAGCACCCAUUUCUUUUUUAAGCAAAGAGGAAAUUGUACAGCCCAAUCAGUAUAAGAAUAAAGCCAGAUUAAGGUAUUUAAGCAAGAACUGUCUGAUCAUACAAGUGUGUUUCUGCUGCUGAUAACUUGCAGUUCCUUGUUAAGUUGUAUGAAAUUUCAAACAUGCGAUGCAAUACAAUUUUGAGCCGAGGGUCUAUCGAAACAGCCUUUCUAUCCCACAAAGGUAAAGGAGGGUAAUGUCUCCGUACAUCUUACCCUCCUCAGAUCUCAAUUGUGGGAUUGCACUUGAGCCCACCUCACGGCCCAAAAGACCAGUCCUUUAUGAUAUUGCAAUUGUAAACAGCUCUAAUCAGCAAAUUUUGAAUUGAUUAAUUCAGAGUAAUUAUCAAUCCAGCUAUGAGGCCAUUCCGCUGAACUAAGAAUAAACAGUGCAUUACUCGAAACAAUCAGUAUAUAAGACUAGACAAAGAAUAAUUGGUAAAGGAGAAGGGGGUUUAACCACUUCUUUUCUUAGCAAAUAAAAAGCUCAUGCUGUUUCUCUCUGGGUACAUGAAAAAAGCAAUCUGACAGCUUUAGUAAUUGAAACCAAAAAAUCAGCGAUCAAAAGAUAACCUAAUAAGAAUCAAGAGGUUGUAACAUGAUAAUGAAAAAAUCAGACAACAAUAUUUCUCUGUUCACUUAAUUUGAAAUACUAAAUGAAACCACAAAAUAAUUUGUUUUGAAAUGCCAAAGAAUGCAUACCAGACAACACAUUCUUAAUGCCACAGGGAUGUGUAUCAGUUUCUCUCCCGAGAGCACUUUUCAGUGUGAGAAUUUCAUUAGGUAGUUGGUAAUCAUCUAAUUCACCACUAUAUUUGACAUCGUGAAUAAUAAGGAUCUUAUAGUUGCCACUAAUUGAGUCAUAAAGCAAUCCCAAAAUUCCUCCAGGCGAAAUCAUGGAUGUGGAGGCACUUUUGAUUCUCUUGUGGAGAGAUUACAUAGCGAUAGGUUGGGUGCGUCGAAAUCCAAAUUAUUAUCACAAACCGUGAUAAUAGUCAAGCCAUUGCAAAAUCAAUUGAUUGCGCAAAACCCUGGUUUAGAGUUUGAAGGGCAAUCAAUUUUCUGUACAUCAUCAACCAGUUGAACCGACAAUAAAAGACAAUAAUUGAUUGAAAAUAUACAAUCCUUGUGGCACUUCUGACAAAUAAGAAAUUUUUGGGAAUUUUGGUCAUUCUUAGCAUAUUUGAGAUGCUUCAUCUUAAAGUAAGGCUUGAAGAUCAAUGUUUUCCAAAAUUUUGUGAUACAUUUGAAAAAAAGACGAGACCGCACAGGUAAUUUCCGGAGUAUAUCAGCAAGUAUUUCCUCUGAGAAGUGACAACACGGACAAAGACAGGACAACAAAGAGUGAUCAUAGUAUUUGAAUAUUAGACAUUUCAACCAAGAGAUUUAAGAAGAUAAAACUUUUGAUUUCUUCUAUCUACUACUUACAAACAAUUACUAAUAAAAUUUAUACUUUCAAGUAGAGGAAGGGACAGAUAAGCCAAGUACCUUUAAGCAUUCCCAUCAUGUUUGACAAAAUAACUCACUGAAUAUAUCAACUGGUGUCUGAAUAAAAGGGACUAUAAAUUUGACUUUCUAUUACCACCAAAUACUAUAGCAAUGACAACAAACAACAUACUCAGUGUAGUCCCACAAAGUGAAGUCUAGGAGGGAACAAUGUAUGCAGACAUUACCCCUACCUCAGAAAGGGAGAGGUGAUUUUCGGUAGACCCCUGGCUCAAAUACCAUAGCAAUGCGCACUUAAAUUUUCCCACUAGGUCCAGCACAUUUUUAACAAUUAAAGUAAAAUUAAGCAUAGGAAUUAUACACCGUUUAGCCAAACAACAAAAAUGUGGUUAACAAAAGAACUCACCUCAUCAACAACAUCCAUCUGCUUUGAUGGCUUUUGAUUUCUUCCUUUGUUGGCAAUUCACCUUUUGUGUUCGAUUUGAAUGCUAGGGUUAUUUUAUAUUGUGGAGGGAGUGCGUGCACGAUUCAGAAUUUCCUCUCUGAACUACCCAUGUACCUAUCUCCACAAACACAAUAGUAAAAACAUCAUGGAGCGGGUGUUUUGAUACCGUCAUUUAACUUGUACUCAUCUUUUUAAAAUUUUUGCACAUAUACCAUUUCAGACAUGCCAUGUCUGAAGUUAGACUAGACAAAAUCAAACUUCAGACAUAGUGUCUAAAAUUUCAUGACUGAAAUUCUGGUAAAAAUGGUUGAACUUUAUCAUAUACUAGUAAAAUUAUCUGCGCUUCGCGCGGAAAUUUAAUAUCACAUAAUUUAUAAAACAAUACUUACAAUCUAUCAGUCAUUAAAAUUAAAACACUAUUUUAUCUUAGAUACAAGAUUACGUAGGAACGAACAUUAAUAAUGUAAAGGAAAAUAAUAAUUAUAACAUUUUAUCAUUUAUCCUUCAAUCAAUCAUCUUUAAUUUGAUUUUAUAAUUUAUCCUUUUGCCGUCAGGAAGUAUUACUAUUUGAUAUUUUUGGGAAAUUAGAUGAACAUCAACGUGAGAUAUUAAAUUUUCUAAUAAAUAAAUAAUAUUUAUAUGUACUAANNNNNNNNNNNNNNNNNNNNNNNNNNNNACAAAGUUUAAAACAUGUACUAAAAAACAACAAUUAAUAUCAUAAGCAUAAAUUAAUGACUGUAAAAAAAAUAUACCAAGAUCUAUAACAGUAGAAUGAAACAGAAAGGAAAAAAUUGAGCCCACAAUGCACAGUGUUCCCUUAAGGAAAUUAUUCCCCUCUAGUACCCGAGGUUUAAUGGAAUAGAUCCUCUCAGGAUGGAACAAUUUUAUUCACAAGUAUAUAGAUAUAAAAACAAUGGUGUCAGUGAGCCCUUCAACAGGAGCAAAGUACUUGAAUAUUUAAUUGUGCAGAAGAAGAAGAAGAAGUUCAGAAUUUUCGUUGUUUGAGAGGAAAUCCCUCUAUUUAUAGACAACAAAGGAUAGUGUGAACGAAUGCUUAUUGUGCCUUAUCGAAAAUGUCACAACUCUUCGAAAAGGUCAGAACCUUUCAUAAAAGUCACAAUUUUUCAUAAAAGUCGUAACUCGUCAUGAAAAUCGCAAUUCUUCAUAAAAGUCACAACUUUUCGUAAAAGUCACGUCUUUUCAUGAAAGGGGAUGACUAUUUUUGGGUAACUCUUCAUAAAAGUCGCAACUCUUCAUAAAAGUCAUAACUUUUCAUAAAAGUCACAUCUUUUCAUGAAAGGGGAAGGCUAUUUUUAGAAAUAAAUAAAUCUAAAAGGAAAUUCUAGCUUGUGGUGGCGCCACGUAGGCGGGCCUAGGGUUCUCUUUUAUAUAAAUAUAUGAUAUGAUGUCCAAAGACCUUUUCUAGGUCUUUGUACUCAUUAUGUCUAGCAUUGAAUAGACCGAAUAUUCACCUUAUCAAGAUCUCAAAUCAAUGAUGAGGUCUGGUUGGCACCUCCUAAAUGGGUGUCCAAAUUGGACUGAAUCCUUUGUCGGGCUAUGGUUCCGUCAAAGAUAUGGAGUAAGACAUUAAUUUCUCAAUAAGAUCAUUUUUUUAUUGUAUGAUGAACCCGGUGAAAAGUACAGGAACAAUUUUGUCCCUUUUCCCGUAAUUUGAAUUACAAGCCACAGAGUCAAAAGAAACUAAUAAAAUUGCAUCCGAAAGAUGAACCAACUAAAUUUACAAACAAAACAACUGAGAUAGUGGUAAAAAUGUAAGAGCUUUUUGCCAACAUAGCAAACACAUACUCAAAGGAAACUUCAUAAAGUUAAAACUUUUAUGCAUAACCAAUAAGAGAGAGUGUACAAUACAAGAGCAUGCCAACUUCUAGGCCAAUUUGUAAAACUCAUACAUAUAGUAACCAAAAGAGUGCGCUCAGAUGGUAAGCACCCUCCAAUUCUAAACCUCAGGUUGUGAGUUCAAGUCACCAAGGGAGCGAAAAAGUGGGAGUUCCUGGGGAGGGGUAAAAAAAAAAGAGUGCUUGCUUAUAGCUCUUUAAGAUGCCUUUUCCAAGUUUUGCUGUCAAAGACCUAUACAUUUACAAAAGGCAAAUCGAGCACCGUUGAAAGUUACUUACAUGUCAAAAUUUACCCAGUGUCAAAAGUAUUUCACUAUUAUCAAAAAGAACUAACCACUGCUAGACGCCAAAAUCAUCACUUGUAGAAUUGUCUGAAAUCAGUUCUUGUUACCUGCAAGAAAAUCAAUACACCAUCACUUUUUCAGUUUAAGCACAUCAGUGUCUUGAUUCUCAGCUGAGUGUUUAGAAGUUGACGCCAUUUUGUUGUCUUCAGGUGCCACAAGCUUGGGAGCAUCUGCUUUUCGCACUUAUCAGGUUCUUUGAUACUGCACUUGGAUACAUCAGAUAAACUCGAGUUUAUGAACGACUUUAUAUCUUUCUUUCCCUUAACUUCAAGCCAUUUGUCAUCAAUCCAACCUCUUGAAGUCCUCAUGUUCUUCCUUUGAAUCUUCAAUAAUAUGUUCUCGCCUGUUAUUGAGAAAAAGAAAAACACCUUGGGGCAUCAGGCCAUGACCAACAUUAAUCAUUAAAAAUCCAAGACAACAAAUUGGCCAGAAGCAAGGUCUAUUGUUUAAAGUUUUUCCACUACUGAGUUAAAAAGCCAAUUUAUGAUAAUGUUGAGCUUAGACAUAUGAUUUCAAGUAAGAAUUGAAAAUAAUUAGAGACUCCAAUUUUUCAUUUAUUGGCUGUUGAGUUAUCCUUACGCGAAGUUGCUAUGCAUCAACCAAUAAGCAAGAAUUCUCCUUUUAUUCCUUGUUUUCUAUUUCUAUUUUAACUUUUUAGUUUUUUGGGACUGAUAUUUCUUACCAGGGAAGUAAACCUGAAGAUACCGCUUCCACAAACAUCAAAUCCAGCAACAAAACCUUCCCCCCAUCCAUCGGACCACCAAGCAUCAACUGCAGCUCCUAGUUCAAAAGAAAAGUCAGAAGAAUCCUCCAGAGGCCGUGGACAAACUGUGAUGCAUCCUGUGUAUCUCAUGCCCAAUCUAUCAGACCCUGCAACUCUGUAGGAAGGAAUCCAUUCCUACAAAAUCAAGCAAAGGUGUUCAGGAAACAGGGUGAAAGGUGAAGGGUGAAGGGACAACAUACAAGUCAAUAUAUGUAAGUAGAUCAUAAGUCUUAGUAUAUUAACUUAAGUUAUAGUAGCAGUGGUUAAGGUAACUCAAACUUUUCAGGACCAUCAUAAUCCUGGAUGUCAUCAUAUUGAACUUUCAGACGUUUUUGUGAUACCUGUAAGACCUUACACCUGAACCAGCAGCCUCUCAUGCCACUAUCGUGGCAAAGAACCUCUAAGUUGUCACCAACUUCAAAAGACAGAUUAUAUUAACGCUCAACAAGCUGAAUUCCAACCGACCCUAUGCUUGGAAAUUUUAUUUUUAACUUUGUGUAAGUUGAUGGUUUGGCUUUUGCUAUCUGGUUACCAGGAAUUGACUUUCUGAUGCCAGAACACUCUCACCAACACUUCUAACAAGGAUACACUUACAUAUCGCCCCUCGUCCAAAACGCCAUGGAAAACAACUCUGAGCAAUCGGUGGGUCAGUGGUUGGAUACCCAGCGCAGCAUCUCCUUGAGCAGCAGGAAGAGCAGUUGGAGAUGUUCUGGACCUAUCCAGGAAAUGGAGCAGGUUAACGAUUUUAAGAACCACCUACUUCCCCUUUCCCACAUCAAGAAGAUCAUGAAAAGGAUGUCCUCAUGAUCUCAGCUAAAAAUAAGGACAUUCAAGGCCUACAAUUCCAUAGGCAGCUAAAAAUAAGGACAUUCAGCUUGUGCCUGGAAAACUGAAAUCGGGAACAAAAAUCACAAAAUAAAAAUGGAACUGGAAAUAACUUUUCACCAUCUCCACUGCUCCCUCCCCAAAAAAUCCACGGGGGAAGGCUUCUUUAUGGAAAGAAUAAUCGCAACAUAAUUUAGUUUCUUUCCUGUCAAAGCAUAAGAUCUUUCAUCUACAAACUCAUCAAAAAGCAUUUUUCAUCUUCAAAUUAGAUUAGCGAAGCACAGUAGCCGGUGAAUAGUUCACAAAAAGUGAGACUGAUAUUAGCCCAUCAAAUUGAUAAAGUUUGGACAUUCGCAGUACUUUAACAUUGUUGCUUGUAGACAUGAUCAUGAGGCAUCUGUCAUCUCUAGAUUGAUUGGAUGUAACCAGUAGCCAAUAAUCUAUGAUCAACUUCUUCAGGAAAUGCUAACUACUAGAAAUGAGAGCAUUUGAUGUACAUGUACGCCAAUAGAUACUGCAAAUCUCAUGUAACUAAAAUCUUACUGCAACAUGAUUAUACAUACUUGAAAUAGAUGGUGAUCGGUGAUGCUUUGAAACCAAAAACGUCAGCCAUUCCACUACCUCUUUUCCUGCAUGCCACUUUGUGUCGGAAUUCAUGGUACUUGUGUGCCCAAAAGCAUCCAAAUAAUCCUCUGAGACAACAUAUAGCAUGUGCCUUGAACUUUUUUCAGUACCCACCACAACAAGGAUUAACUCCCUUGAGGUAUCCUUCAAGUAGUGGUGCACAACAUGACGGCCCUUCUCCUGAGAAACAACGUGCUCUUCCAUAAACUAAAUACAUGAUUAUCUGUAUCCAUCCUGAUGCCACAGAGAAACAAUCAUUUUAGGCUAAAGAGUCAUGAGUAAACAUAAUCCUCUAAGUUCUGUUACAAAUUUAGGACCCGAACUGAAAUGAUUAUAAUUAAGAACAUCAUACAGAAAGUAGACAUUUUUCCAACUAUUCGCUUCUGAUGACCAUAUAAACAAUGAAAAAACAGCAUCAAACCACAACCCCAAAUGAAACACAGACAAAAUUUUGCUCAAUACAACUCAGCUACAAAGAACACAUUUUUUUUUCAAGAAUUACCAAUAAAGCCCAAACCCACAUGAAAAACGAAAUGGGAUUCGCUGAUUUUCAAAGAUUAACCAUGUACAAGAACAAAAACACACAAUAUUGAACCAGCAUUGAGCAGACAUCAAGUGAUCACACUUAAAACAAAUAGCUUAGGGUUGUAAGUGGAAACAAGCAAUCAAAAAAUAACCCAACAAGCUAAGCAUGUAACUGACUUCAAAAUUAGCCAAAGUUUGUUGCUUUGUGAUAAAAUAGAGCUUGAGAAGGCCUAAAGAGUAUCCUUCUGGUCAUGGGAGCCAAGGUUUUGCUUCUUUUAUUUGGGACCUAAAAAAGAAAUCUAUUUAAUUAAGGAGAUGAUUUACUUGGAAGUACAAAUUUAAUUCUAAAAUUAAACUAAGGCCUGUUUGGAAAGUCAUUUUCGUAAUUGAAUUUGAUGUAAUUGGGUAUCAAUCAGCAGGUAAUUUUGGUGUAAUUGGUAUGAGUAAUUACACUUUUCAUUUCACAGGGAGGGAUUGUGAAUUGCUCGAAUUACAUGGUAUAAUUACAGGCUACUUAUUAAUUUUUAAUUUUUAAUUUUUUGUUUUAAUAUGUUUUUUAUUUUUAUUAUUUUAAAUUCUUCAUAAAAAAUCAUUAAUAUAAGGUUGUUAUGGACUCACGUGUUCCUUUUCUUUUAAUUCAUAUUUAUGUAUGUUAUGUUGAAAUUUGACAUUAGAAUACUAUGUUAAAAAGAAAGUGGCCCUCUCUCUAAAGGGGCUUAUGCACUCCAUGACUUUCUAAUGUUAUGGACAGUUUAGAAAGAAAGACGUGCAAAUUGAAACGGAGGAAGCUGCCCUUGCAGAUAAGAUGAUCGAGAUACGGAACAGGGAACUCGCGCGCUUCAGAAUCCCUUUCAGAUAGUAGGACCCCUUUGUGAAUUUUUCGUUUUGAAUUUAUAACUUAUGCUAUAUUUUCAAUUUCAUUUAGGAGUAUUGACUUGAUAUUUUACAUUGAAACUAUUUUUUUAAGUUAGACUUGAUAGAUUAUCUUUUUGUCAAAUGUAUUAUAAUUUCAAGACAUUAUAUUUAUAAUAUUAAUCUUUUUGUCAAAUAUGCAUUUUAUGAUGUACAUAGAAAUUUUGUACUUUUAGCUUUUAUGAUUAGUUUAAUUAAAAAUAUAUUAAAUUAAAAAAUAUAAAUCAAUUACAUUAACACGUGUAAGGUAAUAUGAAACGGAGGGAGUACUUAUUUCAAGUAUCACUCUUUUUCCUAAUUAUUCACCAAAGAAAAAAAAAAAGAUCCAUACAAAUUUUUACCUUCAAUUAUUUGGGUGUUUCCACGUAAUUAAGCUCAUACAUUGUACUAAAUGUACGUUUUAAAGUUUAAACAUUUGGAAUUUGGAUACUCAUAAGUCUAACUUGAUUACGAUCCAAUCCAUAAUGCAUAAACCAGGAUAUAUUAAAUAGCCAUUACAACUAAUUAAUCGUAAUUAAAUUAAUCAAGCACGUACACCAUCCUAAUUAAUUCUCUAAUUAGUUAGCCAAGAAGAACAUCUUCAAUAAUAGUGUAGUCGAUUUACUUUCUCAUUUUUCAUUUUACUUGGCCCCUCUAUUUUAUUUUUUUUAAAUAAUCAAUUUAUUUGUCCAUUUUGCGAAUUAAGAGGGUUUUGUUACUUCCGAUUUUUUUUUACUGUCCUUAUUAUUUUGUUAACUAGCUACCUAAACUAAGUAGAAAUAGUCAAAUUUAGAAUUCUAAAACAUCAUUAAUAAAGUAGUUUCGUAAAAGAAACAUUUACAGUAAUUUCUUAAAGGGUGUGUCAAGUCAACAUGAGUCAAGUAAUUAAUAUAAAACAAGAGUACUAUCGAAAUUGAAUAAAAACCCUUGAGAUGCCAACGUUUAAUUGGACCAGUAAGCAUAUCCUAUUUCUUUGAUUUCAUUAAAAUUAACUAUUAAUCAAUAUAUCAUUUAUAAAAAAAACUCACGUAUUUGAUUAAUUUCCCACAUUAUAUUUACUCUUCACCUUCAUAUCAUAAAUCCCUAUUAUAGCACCUUGUUAAUACUAAUCCCACGUCCUCCAUUUUUUUUCCUAAGCAAUUAUCACUCGAAUUAAUCCCACUAUCACUUUGCUAAUUAAAGACAUGAAGAAUAUUACUCUCAUGACCAUCAAAAUUGUUCUACUACUUACCCUAGUUUCAUGGAUUAAUAUUCUUCAAGCUCACCCUAUAACCACAUCUAGUACUGGUUGUACUACUACACUUAUGACACGUCUAAAACUACAAGAUGAAGAAAGGUUCAUCACGGGAUUCAUUAUUCAAGCUCCAAGCAUGCACGGGGCCGGGAAUCGUGCUUUUCUUCGUUAAUGGUGAAACCUAUCUAGGUCAAGAUUGUUGUGAUGCUAUAAGAAUUAUUGAACGUCAAUGUUGGCCAUCUAUGCUUGGUUCUCUUGGUUUUACUUCUGAAGAAGGUGAUAUUUUGCAUGGAUAUUGUGAUGCUAGUGAGUCUUCUUCAAUCCCAGAGAGACACCACUAAGAGACACCACUAUCUCCUAAUUUGGCUCCAUAAGUAGAUUAAUUAAUUUUAAUGUUGCAAAAAUAAAAAAGGGGGUUUUAAACUUUAAAGUAUUGUUAUGUAACAAUAAUAUCAUGGAAGAAUAUAUUAAACUUUGACAUAUGUGUUUGAUGCACACUUUUUUUAUUUUUUUGGAUUUUUGUCGAGUUAUAAUUUAUAUAGUGAAAAAAACUAUCUACACCCCUCUGGUAUGAUUUGUCAUGUUUCUUUUUUUAUAUAUAUUUUUCUAUGAUAACAUUAUUUAAAAUGGUAUUUGACUAGUUUAUCUUCAUUUAUGUUCUAAGAACAAUUAUCUCCUUAGUGUGACGAUGUGCCACAUCAUUGUGCCAUGCAAGUUCCACAUGACACAAAGUUACCCAUUUGGAGGAAUUACAUAGGAAGAAGACUUAUCCUUGUGGAUUAUUCUAGAGAAAGAUAAAUAUUUUUUUUAUAGAAGAUUAUUGAAUUACAUAGAAGUCACUAGAUUAUUCUAGGUAUGUAGAGAGUUCUAUAAAAGAGAUCUUAAUGUAAAUAUGUAGGAUCUUACAAAGAAAUUAUUAUUUAUAUGUUAGCCCCUAGAUUAGUAGUAUAAAUAGAGGGACAUCCAUUUGCAAAACCAUCAAACAAAAAUCAUUACAAGUUCUCUACACAAUUAUUCCUAACAAUCCUCUUUCAUUCUCUUCAUGUCAUUGUUUUGGUGAAGAGUUAUUUGAUAUUUGUGGCAAAUAAAUCAUAAAAUUAAUCGAGGUGCACAUAAAACUAAUUCGAAACUCAUAAUCAUCAAAUAUCAUAAAAUUCACAAAUAGAAGAAAACAAGAUUUAGAAAAUCAAUUAACUAAUUUUUCACUAAUUUACUAAAUAAAAAAAAGGUUCAAGUCAUAAUUCCUACUGACCGGUUAAGCCUUCCUUUUAAAUUGACUUUGAACUUCAAUUUUGAUUUGUAAAUAAUCAAUUUUUGUAUUGAUUAGGUUGUGGGAGAUGUUAGUGCAAUUAAUAAUUAAAGAGACGUUUUGACUUGUUUGAGGUUAUCAUUAUCAUGAGAGGCUAUUCAAAACUAAAAGGGUAUUUUUAGCAAUAUUUUCAUUUUUUGAUUAAAUUUGUUGUUUAUUGUGUAUAUUUUCACUUAUAAUCUUCAUUUUCUAGAUUUCCCCAGAUUUACUCAUGGCAAAUGAAAACGGGAGUUUUAUAUGGGAGGGUAAAUAUAUUAUGGACGACGUUCUAGUCUAAAUAAUGAAACGAAAAAUGUUUUAGAUAGGUAAACAGUUCGCCAAUAUUCAACUGUAUAGCACACAAAAGUGUCUCUCAUGCAAGUGCAAGGUGUAGUAGAUAAUCAAGUGGUGCAAGAUCACAUAGACAGUAUCAUAUGUUUGAUGCGUUUUAGUCAUAAAUCAAGAUCAUUCUACUAUGCAAUUUAAUUGUGGAUAAAAAAAUUUCAUUCACUUUUCCCUUUAUAUUUCUAUAUUCAUUUACUUUAAUACAGAUUAAAUUCGUUUGUGACCGUUGAUUUAUUUUUUCCUUAAGUAGUUUGACUUUUGACAAGUGGAUACUCCAAACAAAUUACAAUUUUCUUUUCUACUCCGUCUAUCCUAGUUUAUUUGGCAGAGAGUUAAAUCUUUAAUUAAUUUGAUAAAAAAUACCAAUAUGAAAUUUUGAAGUUUUUGUUAUAAUCACAUUUAUGUGAAUUAAGACUUUAAAUAAAAUAGUUAAUUCAACUUCUAAAUCUAUCUAUAUAUAUAUAUAUAUAUAAAGGAGGAUAUGAAAAGGCUGAUGUGACAUACUUCUUUGAUCAGGAUUUAUAAUUAUCUUCUUCUUUUUUUCUGAUUUUUGAGAAGUUUCUCUCUAUUUUAGGAUUUAAAAUACUCUAAUACAUUAAUUAAUGAUGAUCUAUUUAUAUUAUUCCUUCAGUUAAUUAUAGUAAUUAUAGAAAAUUGAUUGGUUUCUUCUUCAUUGAUACAUAACCGUUAUUUUUCUUUAUUUAUUUAGACCUCAUUAUGUGAUCAUCAUUUAAUUAAUUAUUAAUUAACUUUAUUAUUCAAAUUUUUUCACCUUUUUAUUUGACAUUUUACAAUAUUUUUCUGAUUAAAAUUAAAUAUAUUCAUGAAAGUAUAAAAAGAUUAUUUAUUGGAAUUAAAUGCUCAAUUUUUAAAUUAUACGUUUUCCCAAAACUUUUAGACUUUUUUUACAUCUUAUGUUUUGUUCUUUCCUGCAGGGAAAUUGUAACAAUUGAAUUAAAAACAAGAGUUAAAUGUUAGUAAUAAUAAUAAUGAUUGCAAUUAAAAUAAUUGAAAGCUAUAAAAUAAAAACCAACAGUUACUAAUAAUAGAGACGUGUGAGGUAAUGAAAAGUCACGAGGACAACUAAUAAUUACGCCUAUAAAUUCAUGAGAAUUGCAAAGAUCCAAUGAAAUGACUACAAAGUUUUCUUCCCACCUGAUGAGGUAUGUUGAGUGACUAGCAAAUUUCUCUUUUUACUUUUUUCUUUUAACUUAUUCAUUAUUUUCAAAGUAUAUCAUAGUUUUAUUUUUAUGUAGAAGCAAAUAGUCUUUUUAUGAUAUAUAUUUAGAUUGCUUUGAAUAGUGUUAUAAUUUCUUAACGAUUCUCUUAUAUCUAUCCUUUAUCAGCGGCGGUUCAACGUACUUGGAGGUCUAAAGCGAAAUUUCAAUUAAAGGCCUAAAAUCUUUUAGUUAGCAAUUAUUAUAUAAAUUGUUAACAUUAUUCUAUAAGUAAUAAGUUGACAAAACUGCUUAUAAGCUUCUUCUUUUUUGGUUUAAAAAUACAUAAAAUAAGUCAAUCUAAACAGGCUUGUAAUUCACUUUAUCCAAAACAUGAUUUUUACUAUUGAUUCAUAUUUUUGAUAGAGCUCUAACUUACAUAUAGCAUAAAAGGGGUCUAGAAAAUUACAAUGCGAGAGUUAGUGAAGAGAAUGUAAAAAGACAAAACAACAUUUUUCUUGAUUUCUUCUAUUCGAUUGAGAUUAAGGAGAAUAAAAUAAUAUAUAUAUUUUUAAGAAAAAUACUUUCUUAGAUAAUUAAUUUUUUCUAUAAAAAAAAUUAACACAUAAUUUAUUGUGGUAAAAUUAGAGGCCCCUAAAAUUGGGGGCUAAGGCAUAUGCCUAAUUUUUAUAAGUAUUGAGCCGCCACUGCCCUUUAUAGAAUAUUAAAUUUAACUAUAUGAGAUUUUGUGGCAAGUUAUAUAACAAUUAUUUCGCUAUUGAUUUGAUGAGUUUUUUAUUUAUUUUUAAUAAUGAUCAACAUGUUUAGGGGAUCAUUAUUUAUGAACAACUAAAUUGUAGGGGUGAGUACCUUAUUUAUACUUGACCUGUCAUACUUCAAAAGGUAUGAUACUUCAUAGUAAUUUUUUCAAUUUUUGUAAAAGCUAAAUGUUAAUUAAUUAAAAUACUUCAUUAGCCUUUCUUUCUAUUAUUUUUGUCAAACAUUCUAAAUAUUGAGGAUUUGCUCUAGAAUUUUAUUUACUUAUUAAUAUUUUAUUUUAUUUUACAAUUUUUCUUAUUUCUCUAUUAUUAUUGUAAAAUAAUAAAUAUGUCAAUUAACCAUUCAUUAAUACUUUAAUAAUUUAAAACUUGAUGAUCUUUGUUUACAUUACUCCAAUAUUUUUUUAUUAUCAUAACUCCUAAAAUAAUUAAUAGUCAUUAUAUUAUUUCGGUAUACAUAUUGUAGUUCUAUAAAUAAAGACAUGGUAAAACAUUGUAGAAAUGAUUACAUUAUAAGUCUCUCAAGUUAUUAUAUUUUUGAUACGUAAUUCUUAUAUUCAUGUUUUAGUUUGACUUGAAUAGUAAAAUGAAGGCUAUUGAAUGAUGAUCGGCUUGUGGGAAUGAAUGUUGACAAGAGUUAGGAAAAUUGUACAUUGAUUUCAUUUUUUUUUUUCUUCAAUUUUUUAAAUAAUCAAGAUCAUAAUAAUGAUGUACAUUUUUUAUUAUUUAUCUUAUGUUCUAUCCAUAAUUUUCUUUGUUUUAUAUUUUAUACGAUUCGUUUUACUGUUGUAAGUUUAUAAAAAAAAAAAAUUUGGUUCAAAUAAACAACUAUGACAUUGUUUGGAGUCAUGGGACUACUAAUCAAACGUUUAUCUUUAUGAAAUCAAUUAUACGUCUGGAUGCAUAUAUAUAUAUAUAUAUAUAUAUAUAUAGUAUACAUGUACAUAUUAUAAAUAUCUCUUCUAUUUAUAUUAUAUUUUAAUAAAAUUAUCGACAUCUUAUCAUCUUUUUUAACCGCGCAAAGCGCGGAUAAGUUCACUAGUCGAUAUAUAUAACCGAUAAGAGAAAGUGUACAAUACAAGGGCAUGUCACCUUCUUGGCCGAUUUGUAACACACAUACAUGUGCAAACUAGAAGAGUGCGCUAAGAUGGUAAGCACACUCCACAGGCCAUUUCCAAUCCUGAAAUUGUGAGUUCGAAUCACCAUGAGAGUGAAAAUGUGGGAGCUCGUAGUGAGGGGUAAGAAAAAAGACCGCUUGUAUAUAGUUCUAUGAGAUGCAUUUUCCAUGUUUUGUUGUCAAAGGCCUAUACAUUUACAAAGGCGAAUCGAGCAUCGUUGAGAAUUACAUAAAAGUCAAAAUUUACCCCAAGUGCCAAAAGCAUUUCUCCGCUGAGUGUUUAGAAGUUGACACCAUUUUGUUGUCUUCAGGUACCACAAGCUUGGGAGUCAUCUGAUUUUUCACAGUUCCCUGGUUCUUUGAUAGUACACCUGGAUACAUAGGUUAAACUCGAACUUAUGAACGACUUUAUGUCUUUCUUUCCCUCAACUUCAACCCAUUUGUCAUCAACCCAAUCUCUUGAAGUCCUCACGUUCUUCCUUUGAAUCUCCAAUAAUAUGUUCUCCAUAAAUCCCAAAAUAAAAAUGGAACUGGAAUACCUUUUCACCUUCUCCCAAAAAAACCCACAAAAUGUCAAAGCAUAAGACAUGAUCUGUAGCCUAUGAAUAGUUCACAAAAUGUGAGAUUGAUAUUAUACCAUCAAAUUGAUAAAGUUAGGACAUUUGCAGAACUUGGAGCAUUGUUGCUUGUAGACAUGAUCAUAAGACAUUUGCUCAUGUCUCUACAUUGAUCGGGUGUGUAACAAGCAGCCAAUAAUCUAUGAUCAACUUCUUCGGUAAAUGCUAAAUACUAGAAAUGAGAGCAUUUGAUGUACAUGUACGCCAAUAAAUCUCAUGUAACUGAAAUCUUAAGACUGCUACAUGUUUAUACAUACCUGAAAUAGGUGGUGUUGGUGAUGCUUUGAAAUAAAAAACAUCAAUCAUUCCACUACCUCUUUUCUUGUACGCAACAUUGUGUCAGCAUUUACGGUAUUUGUAUGCCCAAAAGCAUCCAAAUAAUCCUCAGAGACAACAUGUAGUAUGUGCCUUGUACUUCUUUCAGUACCCACCACAGCAAGGAUUAACUCCCCUGAGGUAUCCUUCAAGUAGUACUGCACAACACGACGGCCCUUCCCUUGAGAAACAACGUGCUCUUCCCACGAUAUAAAUACAUGAUUAUCUGUAUCCACAGAGAAAACAGUUUGGAUUAAUCAAAAACAGCCCAGUUCUUAAACACCUCAUCCAGAAACAUAAACAAACAUUUUAGGUAACAAUCAUUUUUUGAAAAAUAACAAGUAACAAAAGGACAAGAAAUAACAGAUAGUAACAAAAAUCGAAGGACAAAAAACAUCAGGGGCAAUAGUAUGACUACUAAUUUGAACGGACAUGAAGAGUCAUGAGCAUACAUAAUCCUCCUAAGUUCUGCUACAACUUAGGACCUGGUCGAACAAACAGAAAUGAUUGUAAUUAAGAACAUCAGAUACAAAGAAGAGAUUUUAGCUCCUGAUGACCAUAUAAACAAUGAAAAAACAGCAUCAAACCACAACUCCAAAUGAAACACAGACAGAAUUUCACAUAAUCCAAAUAUAAUUCCAGAAAACUCUCAAUACAAUUCAGCUAAAAGAGCAAAUAUUUUAUUUUCAAGAAUUACAUACAAAGAACCAAAUUCACAAUGAAAAACAACAAUGAAGCCCAAACCCCGUGAAAAACGAAAGGGGUUUGCUGAUUUCCAAAGAUUAACCAGAACAUUGAACCAGCCUUGAGCUGACACCAAGUAAUCACACUUACAUCAAAUAGCUUAGGGUUGGAAAAAAAACAAGCAGCAAAAAAGAACCUGGAAUUGAAGGAAAAAAAGGUAAGCAGGUAACUAGUACUGACUGACUUCAAAAACAGCAAAAGCUUGUUGCUUUAUUGAGAAACUGAGCUUGACAAAAAAGCCAGAGAAUGCUGAGUUUUUAUAUUUAGAAGCAGUGAAUCCGUAUGGCCUUAAACUAACAAAAUUAGUGUUGCAACAAUAUUAGUCACAGAUACUUUAUUCCAAAAUUAAACAGAAAAAUCGGAUCUUGAAUCCAUUUCAUGCUCAUGUCAGGUCAAUGUACAGAGAAAAAAAACCCUGCAAAAUUACGUCCAAUUUAUUAUAAUCGAUUAGUUAACAUGUUGGUUAACUAUAUUAGGAAACAUGGAAAAUAUCAUUGGCUUAAUCAUAUAUAGCCGUGAAAAACAUUCAACAAAAGACAAACCCUAAAUCCUAUAAAUCCUUAAAUAAACCCUAAAAACCAUUUAAAACACCUACAAAACCCCAAAAUUUUUCGUGGACGUCCAUUAAGACCUUAUAUAUAGAGCCAGUUGGCCCUCACCGCCAAAACGUCCCAUUUUCAAGGUCAAACGACCCCCAGAGCAGGUAAAACCCCCAUUUUGCCGGGGAACCGUUCCCAGUCCGUCCCCCGGCCGGCACGCGGCGACCCGCUCUUGCCGCGGGAGCAGCUCGAGCAGUCCACCGACAGUCGACGGGUUUGGGACUGGGAUCCCGUGCCCACAAACGUCGGCCGACCGUUGUGUGCAGGACAAAAGCAAUGCGGGCAGGCCACGUUCGACGUCGGCUGACCGUUGUGUGCAGGUCAAGGAAGAUGCGGCCUGGCCAAGCCCGACGUCGGCUGACUGAUGUGUGUAGGUCAAGGGCGGAAUAACCUUAACAUACCUUUCCAAUGAACGCUCGAAAGAUUGUAGUUCCUUCACGAAAGUUGCUCCUUAUGUCCUAAGCUUCGCAAACACUAUAUAUACAAAAAAAAAUCCACUAUCCGUAAUAGAAAACUUCUAUUUGUUCACAAAAUUAAUCAUAUUUUCUUUGCUAACGAAGAAUAUAAUAUUUCAUUUGGACUAAUAAUAGCUAUGUGAAUCUCUUCCAGAUCGAAUGGAAGCAGAUUGCGCUUUCUCUGCCUGAGGACUUGCUUGAAAUGAAAGCGGGCUACAUCGCCGUAUGUAUGCACCACCUUUCAGUAACAAGGUAACAAUAACUGUGCUGAAGUAAGAAAACAGGGACAAGAUCUAUCCGCACCCAUUUCCUUAUUAAGCAAAGAGGAAAUUGUGCAGCUCAAUCAGUAUGAUAAAAGCCAAAUUAUGUAAGCAAACAACUAUUUGAUCAUACUAGUGUGUUUCUGCUGUUGAUAAACUGUUAGAACUUUUUGCUCAUCUUCUAAAAUUAAAAAAAUGGUAUUAGACUUUCAAGAAAAAGGAUUCUGAAAAACAGGUCAUACUCAGAGGAAACUUCAUAAAGUUACAACUUUUAUGCAUAACCGAUAAGAGAGUGUACAAUACAAGAACAUGCCAACUUCUUGGCAAAGAGUGCUUGCCUAUAGUUCUAUAAGAUGCCUAUUCCAUAUAUUGUUGUCAAAGACCUAUAGAUUUGCAAAGGCAAAUUGAGCACCGUUGAGAGCUACUUACAAGUCAAACUAUACCCACAGUACCAAAAGUAUUUCAUCAUUAUCGAGAAGAACUGACGGGCGCUAGAUGAUAGCAUUAUCACUUGUAGAAUUGUCUGAAAUCAGUUCUUGUUAUCUGCAAGAAAAUCAAUAUACCAUCGUUUUUUCAGUUUAAGCACAUCAGUGUCUUGCUUCUCCGCUGAGUGUUUGGAAGUUGAAGCCAUUUUGUUGUCUUCAGGUGCCAUAAGCCUGGGAGCCAUCUGAUUUUCGCAGUUCUCCGGCUCAUUGAUACUGCCCCUGGAUGCAUAAGUUAAACUUGAGCCUAUGAACGACUUCAUGUCUUUCUUUUGCUCAACUUCAAUCCAUUUGUCAUCAACCCAGUCUCUUGAAGUCCGCACAUUCUUCCUUUGGAUCUCCAAUAAUAUGUUCUCACCUAUUAUUGAGAUAAGAAAAAACACAUUGGCGCAUCAGUCCAUGACCAAUAUCGAUCAUUUAAACUUACGGACAACAAAUUAGCCGGAAGCUAGGCCUACUAUUUAGAACUCUUUCAACUGAUGAGUUAUAAAGCCAAUUUAUGACAAUGCUGAGCUUAGACAUAUGAAUUCAAGUAAGAAAUGAAAAUAAUAAGAGACUCCAAUUUUACAUCCAUUGGCAGUUGAGUUAUCCUUAUGCGAAGUUGCUAUGCAUCAACCAAUAAGCAAGAAUUCUCCUUUUAUUUCUUGUUUUCUGUUUCUAUUGUAACUUUUUAGUUUUUGGGGACUGUUAGUUCUUACCAGGGAAGUAAACCUGAAGAUGAUCGCUUCCAGAGACAUCAAAUCCAGUUACAACACCUUCCCACCACCCGUCAGACCACCAAGCAUCAACUGCAGCCCCUAGUUCAAAAGAACAGUCAGAAGAAUCCUCCAGAGGCUGGGGCCGAACUGUGAGGCGUCCUGUGCAUCUCAUGCCCAAUUUAUCAGAGACUGCAACUUUGUAGGAAGGAAUCCAUUCCUAUAAAUCAAGCAAAGGUGAUGAGAAGACAGGGUGAAGGGAGAACUGACCAGUCAAAAUACGUAAGUAGAUCAUAAGUUAUAGUCGAAGUGGUUAAGGUACCUCGAGCUUUUCAAGACUUUCACAAUCCUGAAUGUCAAUAUAUUGAACUUCCAUACGUUUUUGUGAUACCUGUAAUACUUUACACCUGAACCAGCAACCUUUCAUGCCACUAUCGUUGCAAAGAACCUCUAUGCUGUCACCAACAUCAAAAGACCGCUUAUAUUGAGGCUCCACAAGCUGAAUUCCUACUGGUUCUAUGUUUGGAUAUUUUAUUUUUAACUUUGGGUAAGUUGGUGGUUUGGCUUGUGCUAUCUGGUUACCUGGAAUUGACUUUCUGAUACCAGAAUGGCAACUCUCACCGACACUUCUACUCCCACUAGGUCCUUGCAUUGAAGGAUCUUCUUGGGUUAUCUUUUUUGAGACAUCAUCAGAUAUGUGACCAGCCAUCAAAGCACUUCUUCUUGUUUCUCUUCUUGGGGUAUCUACAAGAUAAGGGAAGUCUAAUUACUAUAAUGUGAAGUAUAUUAAAGCUAAGAUAAAAAUAAUUUAUAACUACUAGGCUUAGUAUUCUUUCUACAGAGAUCCAAUUUUAUAGAGCAUCAACAACUCAAAAAUCAUAAGCAACUUUGCAGCAUAUACAGCAAUUUUCUGAGUAUUCAGCUUAAAACAAGGACGUUUAAGGCCUAGAAAUUCAUAGUUGGUAUCAGGUGUAAUCUUAAUCUUUAUGAGCACAUAAGCUUUAAAUUCUUCAUGUGCAUAUAACCAUCAAGAAGAACAAAUAAUUCAUUGCUGAAACAUGGCAACAAUAUAAUGACAACAUUUACCAAGUACAUCAAACCAAAGGCUAGUAUAAAUGAUCCCGAGCUAUAAUUGGAGGAUUUAAUUCAAAAAAUUUCAGCCACCUGGCCUACAGUUCUUUAAAGAAAAUCUACUCUAAAACUGGCUAGUAAUUAAUUGGGAUCUACAUGAACAUCAAAGCACAACACAAAACACAUACACCAAUGUCAAUUAAAAGCAAAGCACACAGAGGAAGUCGAAAAAUGCAUCAACAUUAAUAGGAUUACCAAACAUGCAUGAUAUUAAGGAUCACAUAUAGACGCAUAAGGGGAAAAUGAAAAAGAUAAGAGGAAGAUCCAAACUGCAUACUGCACAUUUAAACAAUAGAUCUUUGCAAUAUCAAGAUAUAAAAUAAAUUGUUCAAAUGAAAUUCUAAAAUGCUGUAACAAGCAAAGGGCAGACUGUGUUUGAUAGACCCUCAACUCCCUUGCCCCCACCACCCAACUUAAGGGCCAACUGACCUUCUCUUUACCCAAGGAAGAGUUGCACCUCAAGGAUCAUUUUCUAGCGUUUAACCCCUUUCUCAUUCACAAUGGAAGUUGAAAAGAGGUGAGAUACAUUAGAGCAAGGAUGCCAUCAAUUUUUAUGUGAUACCCACAGAAAAGACUAAAAAGAAAGGAGAAUAGCAUUAACACCAUACAUUCUUCAUCGGUUAUCUUGCAAAUUAACAAGAGCAAGAACUGAUUAAACAAAAGGCAGAGAAUUGUAAACCCCGUUUCCCUUUUAUGUCAAAGAGCUAAAAUCGACUGUAUCAGGAAAAAGAAAGAUAUACAUUCUAGACUUUUAUCAGGGGAAAACAAGGAUGGCAUAGUGCAGUAGGAAACUCUUAUCUCGAUUUCUUUGUUUCCCUUUUCAGUUGUUAAAACUUUUACCUCGGUCUGUCCGCUAACACUAUGAAAACUGAAUAUAGAGGAACGAUGUCAUCGGUUAUCUCGCCAAUUAACUAGAGCAAUUACUGAUUAAACAAAAGUCCGAGAACUGUAAGCCCCCUUUCCCUUUUAUGUCAAAGAGCUAAAAUCAACUGUAUCAGGAAAAAGAAAGAUAUACAUUCUAGACUUUUAUCAGGAGAAUACAAGGAUGGCAUACUGUAGUAGGAAACUCUUAUCUUGAUUUCUUUGUUUCUCUUUUUCAAUUGUUAAAACUUUUAUCUCGAUCCCUCCGCAAACACUAUUAAACUGAAUAUAGAGGAAAGAUGGAAUCAGAAGGUUAGAUAUAACAUUGAGAAUACUAAGAUACUAAGUAACGGUUGUAUUUAUUUUGUGUGUACCACAAGUGCAGUAAAACACAUGGAAGCAGGCAUUUUUGUAUAACACAAUUCUGUGGGCAUUCUGGUAUUACAAAGUCCCACCCUUAAUUAUAUUCAAACUAGUAAAAUUAAUGUCACAGAAUUUAUAAAAUAAUACUUAAAACUUAUCAGACAUUAAAACUAAAACACUAUAUUAUCUUACAUACAAGAUUACGUAGUAACAAACAUUAAUAAUGUAAAGCAAAAUGAAAAUUGUUACAUCUUAUCAUUUAUCCUUAAUAACAUAAGCAUAAAUUAAUGAUUGUAAAAAUACAUACCAGGAUCUGUAACAUNNNNNNNNNNNNNNNNNNNNNNNNNNNNNNNNNNNNNNNNNNNNNNNNNNNNNNNNNNNNNNNNNNNNNNNNNNNNNNNNNNNNNNNNNNNNNNNNNNNNNNNNNNNNNNNNNNNNNNNNNNNNNNNNNNNNNNNNNNNNNNNNNNNNNNNNNNNNNNNNNNNNNNNNNNNNNNNNNNNNNNNNNNNNNNNNNNNNNNNNNNNNNNNNNNNNNNNNNNNNNNNNNNNNNNNNNNNNNNNNNNNNNNNNNNNNNNNNNNNNNNNNNNNNNNNNNNNNNAGGUCACAAACCUUUGGAAAAGUCACAAUCUUUCAGAAAGGUCACCACCUUUCAUAAACGUCACAACUUUUCAUAACAGUCGCAACUUUUCAUAAAAGUCGCAACUCUUCAUAAAAGUCGCAACUCCUCAUAAAAGUCGCAAUUCCUCAUGAAAAGGGAAGGCUUGUUUUGGAAAUACAUAAAUUUUACAGGGAAUUCUGGUUUGUGGUGGCGCCAUGUAGGCGGGCCUAAGGUUCUCUUUUAUAUAUAUAUAUAUAUGAUAUAUGAUAUACGAUAUGAUUCUAUGCACAUGUAAAUAUUCAAGUAAUCUAAUACUUCAAUGGAAAACAUUUUCUAUCAUAUCGCAUGCAGACUUAAGAAAGAAGGAGAUAUUCAUCACAAAAGAAAAAGGCAAUGUUAGCGCCUAAACUAAUUAAGAGCUUGAAGUUUCCCCUUUAGCUAUUCUUUCAAACAUUGUCCCGUCCAAGUCUUUUAAGGGCCUGUUUGGCCAUGAAUAAUUUUCACUUUUUCUUGAAAUUGUAUUCCGGAAUCAUGUUUGGACAUAGAAUUGUUAGAAUAUACAUGGUUUCACAUUUUCACUCCAAACCACUCAUAAAAAAUCGACAUUUUCCCAAGUUGUAUUGACGUCCAAAUACAACUUAAAUUUCCAAUUACCACUUUUCAACUUUUUUUCAAAUACUACUUUUUUUUUUUUUUUUUUUUACGAAUUUCACAUAUUUAUGUCCAAAACAUCCACUAAAAUAGUAUAAGCCCUUCUAGUAUCUAAGUACCGAUGGAAACUCCCUCCAAGGGAGGAAUUAAAGUUUUGGUUACAGGUUUGGCCGAACCCAAUACCUUUGGUCCAAACCCUAGAUUUGCGUUAAAAUAUUCAUUGACUAUGUACAAAUUAUUAAUUCAGAAACCAAUAACUUAGAAGGACUAGAAUCCCAGACCCACAAACUUAAAAUCCUGGCUCUGCCUCGGAGUUUCCCUCUCACCCCACAAUAAAAGCUUACCAACACUGGCAAGUCGAUAAGAUGAACUAGAGAUAAGACCAUGUUUUAUGAGCUUACCCCCUUCUUUUAUGCUUUUUCUCGAAGAAAAGAAGGAAAUGGCCUAGUUGAAUCAGCUAUAUGAAUGUUAUAUAUCAAUUCACCUCUAUACAGACCUGAAUCCAAUAUUCAAAGGAUUCAUUUGGGAUGAAUUUUUAACUGGUCCUCCACCUAGUAAAACCCUCUUUGGAUCUUCUUGUUUAUCCGGGUUUGGAAUCGGAGAUGUAUGGAACAACUCACAUACGGAGAGUUCCCAUACAAUUUUAAUACAUUCAUAAAAUUGUGUAUUAAAAAUAGUAUCUUUUCCCUAUUAGGAUUCUCCUUUACCGUUUACACUAUAGCUUUCUAUUGAUGGCAGCCCAAAACUGGACAUUCAAAAAGCUUAUGACCACCUCAAUUGGAAGUUCCUGUUAGAGACUCUUUCUAAAAGGGGCAUUGGAGGUAGAUGGUUAAGAUGGAUGAGCUCUCCUACAAGUUUCUUCUCUUCACAGAGAGGUUUAAGACAAGGAGACCCAUCAUCUCCCUUUCUUUUUAUUAUCGCUAUGGAGGGGCUAAAUGAUAUGUUGAAAAUUGCUCAAGAAAAGUUGUGGCUGAGAGGUUUUAGGGUAUCCAGUAGAGUGGGAGCUGAUCUUGAGAUUACUCACUUACAAUAUGCAGAUGACACUCUUGUCUUAUGUGAUGCAAACAGGAACCAACUCAAGAUUUUAAAGGUAAUCUUUGUUCUUUUUGAAGCUAACUCUGGUUCACAUUAAUUAGAACAAGAGUUUCUUCUAUCUAGUAAAUGAAGUCCCUGAUUUACCCUCUCUGGCUAGGAUUUUGGGCGGAAGGACAAGAGAUCUACUAACUACGUACUUAGGGAUGCCCUUGGGAGCCAAAAGCAAAUCUAUAGGCAUCUGAAAUGGGGUGAUUGAAAAAUUUGAAAAAAGGUUGGUGAAUUGGAAGAGUCGAUACCUUUCUUUAGGAGGAAGAUUAACACUCAUCAACAGUAUUUUGGACUCUAUGCCUACCUAUAUGAUGUCGCUUUUCUCUAUUCCUGAUGGUGUUAUUGACAAAUUUAGUGCUUUGAAGAGGAACUUCCCGUGGGAAGGAAAUAGUGUAACCAAGAAAUUCCACUUGGUUAAGUGGGAUACUCUGAUUGAGAGUAAACAGGCAGGAUGGAUGGGGAGAAGGAAUUUAAAAAUCCAAAACCAGUGCCUUAUGAUGAAGUAGCUCUGUGGAAAGAUGUAAUAUAGGCCAAAUAUGAAAUGGAGGAUCUCUGGAUAACUAAAAUGGACACUAGCACUUAUGGAUCAAGCCUUUGGAGAGCCGUCAGAAACCAUUGGCCAAAGCCCAGAUGAAACUGCAGUAUUAAAUUGGGUAAUGGUAGGAAAACCUCUUUUUGGGAAGAUAGAUGGCUAGAACAAGGAUCUUUAAAAACCUUGUUUCUGGAUAUCUUCACCCUAAACCAACAACAAAGGGCCACUGUGGCAGAGAUGUGGUCAAACCAAGGGUGGAAUCUCAGUUUUAGAAGACCUCUAAAUGACUGGGAGAUCCAAAGGUUGGUGGAGUUUUACAAGGUCUUGGGGCAGUUCAAAGGAACUACUGAUGCACAGGAUAGUUGGGAUGGCAGGAUCACAAUCAAGACAAUUUCAAUGUUAGAAAAGCCUACAAGAAGUUUAAUCUUUCAUGAUCUAAAUUUUAAAAUUUAGGGGUAUUGAUAUAAGUACAGAUACGGGUGUGGGAUUUGGCUCAAGUAAUUCAAAUAUCUAAAGUAGAGUUUUAGUUUCAAAUUAUGAGGCAUUAAAUGGAAAUCUUACAAGGUAUUAUGAGGAAAAGUUAUUGAUCAAAAAGAAGAUUUCUAGAAGGAGAUAUAAGGAAAAGCUCUAACAUAGAAAUUUCUAUAUACAAGGAACUCAUUUUAUUCAAUUUCACCUUAGCUUUUGUUUUGAUUCUAGAAAUCAUUGUAUCUAUCUCGAAUUCCUCCGUUGAUUUUGGUCAAGUAUCCAAAAUUAGUUGACCAAUCUCACACUCGCAUCCUAUGUUGCUCGGACUCUUCAAAAAUUUCAAUGGAUGCGUGUUGGUUUCUACAAAAACAUUGUAUUUUUGAAGAAUCCAGCACGGGUGCAGCAUCAAAAGUAGAAAGUCUGUGCAACUUAGCCCACACCCAUAUCAUGUCGACAUGGGUGCAACACCGAAAAUGAAGAGUCCAAGCAGUUAAGUAAUGUGAGUACAUCCAGUUCUUGGUCCCUAUGUUGUGUGAUGUGAUAGGUAAUAAUGUAUCUUGGCACUCCAAGUUCAAAAAUUGGUGUAUUGGAUCCAUAAGCAAUUGCUUCUAAUCCAACUGAUUAUUACAUGUUUCACUUACAAAAUGUAAAUUUGCUUUAAGCAAUCUUCUUCUCUAGUCUCCAUACACAUUUUGAUAAUCACCUAAAUCAAUGAAGAAGUGGAAGGGAAACGCUAUGUCAGGACGGGGGACGGAAAAAGAAACAACUCUGACGAAAAGAAUUAGGGUUCCUAAUGCUUCUCCAUGCUCAAUGAGAUACGUCAACCUCGGGAUGCUUUACUCCUAAUACCACAAGGUUUCGAUACGGAGCUUAACAUGAGUCUUUGGUUAAAAAUAGUGAUGAUAUACAUUUUACACGGAACACAAUUCCAUGGAUAUUUCAUCCGAGAUCGUGAUGGAGGACAUAGCUUACGAUCAUCGUUUUUGCUUGACAAUAGGAAAUGUAUUUCUUUAUUCUUGACAACAAAAAAUAAGCAAACAUGAUGAAUACCGUUUAUAUAAUAGGGAAUAAAUUUAAAUUGAAAAGAUUGAAUAGUAGACCAGUUGUCUUAGUUAGAUAGUAAGAAGUAUAGCCUAAAAGGACUAACAAAUAUCAAUUAAUCGGAUAAUUUAAUCCUUACAAGAUGAACAAUGUUCACCCUUAAUCUUCUCAUAUUCAUCGAAUAUUACAAAUCUUACAAUUCAUUGCUACCAUUAGGCCAUACUCUUGGGAGCUAAUCUCGUCAUAUUUGUUAUGUGAUGAUAGUGAGGAAACCCAUAAUCUGUAUGAUUAUUUGUCCAUUGCCUGGUGAAGAGAGUACACAAGAGCCUCUCAACAAGGGCGGGACAAAAUACAUUGUGAAAGUUCCUUUUAAGGUGGUGUGCUUUUCUUGGCUCGUAGAAAGAAAUGAUUGCCUCUCACAGGAUAAAGUUCAAAGAAGGGAAUUUCAAUUGUGUUCUAGAUGCUUUUUAUGCAGAGCUGCUAGGGAAAAUAACAGUCACUUAUUCAUUCAUUGUCCUAUUACUGGGAAAUUAUGGCGACUAUUCUUGAACAUGGUAGGAAUCAGAUGAUAUCAUUUACAAGGGAAAGGUUGCUCCAGCUAUAAAGAUUCAACAAACACUUAGAUCUAAGAGAGCAAUUGGGAGUUGAAGUCCCAUCAUGACACGUUUUGUUUCUUUCUGUCCAUAAACACCAAAAAAUGCAAGCUGGGAUCAUCUGCCAGAUCUUGUUGAUGGUUGUCACUUUUCAUGAAUUGCAACUUUCAACUGCUUGUUUUAGGUUGAGGGUGGUUGUCCAGCUAAUUCCAAAAAUGGCCAAAAACAUAGUCAGGUCAGCUACCUCAGGGCAAUGCAAUAGCAAGUGGUUUAGCGUCAAUAAAAUUUUUUGGCACAUAAAACACAUGUUCACCUUAAUUUAUUUUUUUCGGGGGGGGGGGGNNNNNNNNNNNNNNNNNNNNNNNNNNNNNNNNNNNNNNNNNNNNNNNNNNNNNNNNNNNNNNNNNNNNNNNNNNNNNNNNNNNNNNNNNNNNNNNNNNNNNNNNNNNNNNNNNNNNNNNNNNNNNNNNNNNNNNNNNNNNNNNNNNNNNNNNNNNNNNNNNNNNNNNNNNNNNNNNNNNNNNNNNNNNNNNNNNNNNNNNNNNNNNNNNNNNNNNNNNNNNNNNNNNNNNNNNNNNNNNNNNNNNNNNNNNNNNNNNNNNNNNNNNNNNNNNNNNNNNNNNNNNNNNNNNNNNNNNNNNNNNNNNNNNNNNNNNNNNNNNNNNNNNNNNUGCUUUUGUCCGGGGGGGGGGGGUUGUAUUCCAGACCAUCUUCCAGGGCCAAGGUGUCAUCAUUCCAUCUGUUGCAUUCAACUGAUUGUGACCACCUUCCAGGGCCAAGGUGUCAUCAUUCCAUCGGUUGCAUUCAACUGAUUGUAGCAUGUUUUCACUGUGAAGAUGCCUCUCUUUUGCCCCCCCCCCCCCCCCCCUCCAUUGUUCUACAUAAGUUAUGUGUUUCAUUCAACUAUUAAACGGAACAGUUGAAGUCCGAAUCACAUAGUAAUUUAGGCUUUAGGAUUGAAUGACUCAAAAUAUUAUACUAAACCAUAAACUUGUGCCUGCACGUUUAUAAGUACAACAACACACAGGAGACUGUGGUUAGAACAAGGAACACAAAGUAUACUUUCCUUGCAAAAACAAAGCAUACUGAAGUAAUAACUUAGGAGGAUAAGUUAUCAUUUAUUCUUCAAACAAGAAUUAUCCAUUUCUGUGAUACAAAGAACUACCAUAUCAGUACACCACUCUAGGUAAAAUCCAGAUGCACAACUAAAGUGAAAAUUCAGUUUGUGCCUGGAAAACUGAAAUCGGGAACAAAAAUCACAAAAUAAAAAUGGAACUGGCAAUAACUUUUCACCAUCUCCCACUGCUUUAUCCCCAAAAAAACCCAUGGGAGGGAGGCUUCUUUAUGGAAACAAUAAUCACGACAUAAUUUAGUUUCUUUCUUGUCAAAGUGUAAGAUUCUUUCAUCUACAAACUCAUCAAAAAGGGAUUUUUCAUCUUCAAAUUAGAUUAGCAAAGCACUGUAGCAAAUGAAUAGUUCACAAAAAGUGAGACUGAUAUCAACCCAUCAACUUGAUAAAGUUUGGUCAUUCGCAGAACUUGAACAUAGUUGCUUUUAGACAUGAUCACAAGACAUCUGCCGUCUCUAGAUUGAUCAGGUGUAGCCAGCAGCCAAUAUUCUAUGAUCAACUUCUUCAAGAAAUGCUAAAUACUAGAAAUGAGAGAAUUUGAUGUACAUGUACGUCAAUAAAUAC